UACGUAGGGUGCGAGCGUUGUCCGGAAUUACUGGGCGUAAAGGGCGCGUAGGCGGCCGCCUAAGUCAGACGUGAAAUCCCUCGGCUCAACCGGGGAACUGCGUCUGAUACUGGGUGGCUUGAAUUCGGGAGAGGGAUGCGGAAUUCCAGGUGUAGCGGUGAAAUGCGUAGAUAUCUGGAGGAACACCGGUGGCGAAGGCGGCAUCCUGGACCGACACUGACGCUGAGGCGCGAAAGCUAGGGUAGCAAACGGG
Molecule: ribosomal RNA, 253 nt
Filed under: uncultured bacterium
Lineage: Bacteria
Description: partial 16S ribosomal RNA
Rfam family: Bacterial small subunit ribosomal RNA
Source: RNAcentral